This is a non-coding RNA of Pelobates cultripes (western spadefoot toad), 440 nucleotides long. The record is from the annotation of a GenBank genome assembly. Lineage: Eukaryota; Metazoa; Chordata; Amphibia; Anura; Pelobatidae.
GUAGUGUAUAGGGUUACCAGUUUGUGCAGGUGAUGUAGUGUGUUUGUGUGUAGUGGAAGCAGUGUGUAUUUGUGUAUAAGGGAUGUAUUAUGUGUUUCUGGUUGUGUGUAAGGGAUGCAUUGUGUGAAUCUGUGUUUGUAUGCAUAAGGGAUGCAAGGUGUGUGUCUGUAUGUGUGUGCAUUGAGUGUAAGAGAUGCAUUGUGUUUCUGUGUGUAUGUAAGAAAAGAAGUGUGUGUGUUUGCAUAUGUGUGUACGGGUUUGCAUUGUCUGUUUCUGUGUAUGUGUGCAAAGGAUGCAUUGUCUUUAUGUGUAAGGGUUGCAUUGUGUGUGUGUGUGUAAUGGAUGCAUUGUGUGUUUCUCUGUGUGUAAGGGAAGCAUGUUGUGUUUCUGUGUAUGUAUAGGGAUGCAUUGUGUGUGUGUGCGCGCGCGUAGUGUGAAAG